RNAcentral lists this long non-coding RNA (822 nucleotides) under Phascolarctos cinereus (koala). RNAcentral describes it as "lncRNA (ENSPCIG00000035327.1)". The record is from RNAcentral. Lineage: Eukaryota; Metazoa; Chordata; Mammalia; Diprotodontia; Phascolarctidae.
CAAGGAUGUUUUGAGAAUAGCUCCUUUCCCACCAAUCACCCAUUUAUUUGGCAAAUUACCCUCUUAGUUAAAAGGAAUUACUAAAAAGCCUGGUAGUCCUGAGCCAUCUUUGGAGUCUCCCCUGUGGUAUGGGUGCAUAGCCCAGGACCGUCCUGUUGGGACUCUGGUGGCUGAUCUCGGGACUCCCCAGCCACAAGAUCCAGAUGUAGAUGAUUCCCCUGAUGGUGACGAUCAAUUAUGGCGGAGUGGAUCAUUACCCAGGAGGUCUUUCAAAAAAGUCGACAUACUCCCCAUGGUUCACCUGCUCACUUGGAGGCAACCCACUAACCUGACCAGUUUUGUUUUGUACCUUAAGACAUUGAAAAUUAAAUGCCCUGAAUGAAGGUGAGCCAUUCAUUCCACACUUAGAUGUUAUCUUACUCAUUCUUGAACAGCUGUACUUUAUAGCUAGUUUUUUUCCCCCCCUUUAGAGUAGAUUUGAGAACAAAGGUAUAAAAUUGGAUUCUGGCCAUGAAGUUUGCUCUUCUCCAUUAAGAACACAAAGGCAGUCUGAGAUUAGCAGCAAUCUUCCCAACUCUCAUAAUGUUGCAAUAAUGACUUGGAGUAUCUUUUAAAAGCCAUUAGUAAAUCCUAGCAGGCCGGUGGAGCUUGUUGGUAAUUGUCAUUCACGUUUGUCAGUGUUUCUUUCUUUCCUUCUGCCUCUGGGUAGCUGAUAACAGUAGGUGGUAUUUGGCUGGGAAUGAGGGACCUAGGAAGAUAGUGCAAAGCAGGGGGGAGUGCAGAGAGGUGAGAUGAGAGACAGAGAGAGAGACAGAGACAGAG